Non-coding RNA from Cinara cedri, 971 nucleotides. The record is from the annotation of a GenBank genome assembly. NCBI's taxonomy places the organism in Eukaryota, Metazoa, Arthropoda, Insecta, Hemiptera, Aphididae.
UUUUUCUAUGUCAUAUGAUCAAAUGUAAUGGUAUUAUGAUAAAUUGCUUAUCGCAGCUUAUCAUAUCCCGUGUGUUCCAACCUGGUGUACAUUUUAAUUAAAUUAUUAAAAAAUUAUAGAUAAUUUUAUUGAUUAAUAUAUUAUAUUUAUACAGCAGUGUAUAAAAGUAAUAGUUAUAGUAAUUUUGAGCCCAAUACUGUUUAUAAUAUUAUGAUUAAAUCUGUAUUUCUGUCAUAGUUUUACUAAAAGCUAAUAAAACAAAAAACACGUCUUAGUUUAAUGGUUACGGAUGCAGCCAUUGUUAUAGGUAGUUGAAUGUACUAAUAAAAAUUUUAUUUAGAAGAAUUGCUAUCAUUAGAAAUUGGAUCUAAUUUUUUGGUGUAAAUGUUACCCUCAGAAAAAAAAAUCGUUUUAUCAUAUAAAUAUGUUUAAUUAAAUUAAUUUAAUUUAAUUUAAUUUAAUAAAAUUUAGAUGAAUUCGAUGAUUUAUUCUUUUGUUACGGUACAUAAGCCCGUAAUCUGCAUUGAAAACUAUAAUUAUACUGAACCAGUUUUACAAAGAGACGGUAACAUCCCAUCAAUUCGUAACCUCAAACAGGGAUUCUCGUUUCUUUACUGACCAGCGUCAAACUUCAUUCAACGUCCGUUCAAUUGGAUCAGAAUUGUUUCAACUACAAGAAAUUAAAUAAACUAAUUUGGUAACAUUAUUCGUCACGUAUUAUAAUGAAGUUGAUGUUUAUUAUUAGUUCGCUGUGUUAUAUUGUAUUACUGUAUGUAUUUUCAACGAAUGGCGAAGGCCAUUGUGGCGAUGACUGUAUUAUAGUAACCCCAUUAAUAGGCCCCGCAGACUGUUUUAGUGAACGUACAAAGAAAAAGCUGUGUACUUAUUCACCACCAGGGUGCUCAUGUUGUUGUCCCCCCUAAAAACUGCGUUAAAAAUACAUACCUAUGAAAAAUAAAAAUGAAAUAUAU